UCCUCCAAACCCUGUGGCCACAGCCAGGAGGUUCCUUUGCUGUGCUGGCCUGUGCUGUUGAGCGCUCGGUGAGACUUUGGCAUCGGGGGCAGCUCUGGUUCACCAGGCACUGGAGGAGAUCAACAGCAGAGGGCAGAGCCUCGGUGGAGUUCAGAGGGCAAAUUGGCCUUGGAGUCCCUGGACUUCCUUCAGGUGUGACCUCUGCUUCCCAGAACCAAGCAGGAAGACUGUCAAGUGUCUUAACAUCUUUAGUCACCUUAUUGUCAGAAUUAGAGCGGCCUGACAUCAGAUGAUGCAAAGCUGAGCUACAGUUUUCAGCCUUGGUAAUCAAAAGAAACCUGUGGAAGAUGCUCUGAGGUGAUGUACUAAGGAAGUCCAAGCCUGAUAACACG
This is a long non-coding RNA of Hirundo rustica (Barn swallow), 392 nucleotides long. RefSeq lists it as uncharacterized. The record is from RefSeq and is a predicted model, not a curated record. NCBI's taxonomy places the organism in Eukaryota, Metazoa, Chordata, Aves, Passeriformes, Hirundinidae. The transcript is spliced from 3 exons.